Non-coding RNA from Oryza brachyantha (malo sina), 116 nucleotides. Lineage: Eukaryota; Viridiplantae; Streptophyta; Magnoliopsida; Poales; Poaceae. The record is from Rfam.
GCCAGUGAUGAACUGCCAACUUCUUAGAGGGUGCAGUUAGCUCAAGUGCCUGUUUAUCAGGCAUGAACCUACUUGCAGCUGCUGCAUUCGAAUGAUAAUAGCUGGCUUUCUGAGGU